CAUUUUUAUUAAGUAAUAAGAUGAUUAUUUUUUAUUUCUAGGCAAAAUGUAUUCAUAAUUAGACUAAAAAAUAAUUAUAAUGUGACCUAUCGGCCUUCGAGACAUAUAAUUUGAUAAUCUUAUAUAAUGAUAAUUUAGUGAGACAAUUGGAAAUAUAACCAUUUUGUCUUUAAAAUCCACACAUAAAUGGAUGUAAAACAGUUAACAAAACUCCAGUGAGGCAGCCACUGGUUAGAUGUAGCUGCAUUUACUCAGGCCAAAGAAUAUAUUUGCAAGUAGUAUACCAAAAGAAACACAGGGAACAUAUUUUGUGGGGAUAAUGAAGUAUCCUUGAGAAAGCACCCGUCGUUUCCUCGAUAGUAAGGCGACAUGAAUUUUUUUGUUAUUGAGAGAGCAUGAGUGGAGGAGGGGCAGAGAGAGAGCAGGACUGAAGAUCUCAAGUGAGCUCUGCUGACAGCAGUGAGCCCAACGUGGGGCUUAAACUCAUGAACUGUGAGAUCAUGACCUGAGCCGAAGUCGAACACUCAGUCGACUGAGCCACCCAGGUGCCCCCCAGAUUUUAUUGUCAAAAGCAGGUGGUAAAGGCUUGUUUUUAAAGAGAAGACAAAAGAGCUCUCCCUCCUUGAGGUAGGUAUAGUUCUGCGCAAAUCUUAACAGCUUAUAGGAACAGAAAUCAUGAGGUACAGACCUCAAAUUGAUGAAGAUCCUCUCAUCUAAAAUUUGUGUAUUUUUUAUUGAAGUAUAACUAGCAUACGGUGUUAUCUUAAUUUCAGGUAUACUAUAUAAUGAUUCAACAAUUCUGUAAAUUACCCAGGGCUCAUCACAAUAAGUGGUCUCUUAAUCCCCUUGCUCUGUUUCACCCACCUUCUGUUUGGCAAGUCCGGGUUGGUUGUAAAAUGUGCAUUUUUAAUAAUUGCAGGCAAAGAAAUGAAAAGAAUGAGAAUGCUCUACAGACAUCACAUCGGAAAGAAAACACUAGCAUGGGCCAGUAUGGAGUGGACGGAGGAACAGGAGAGACAGGGUUCAGGGGCAGAGGAAGAAGACACGGACCAGAUGAGCACUAUUAUUCAUGCGAUACAACUCAUCAUGUACUUCAGAUGAACAGAACAGCGAGCGGUGUUUUUAGUUGA
RNAcentral lists this long non-coding RNA (1130 nucleotides) under Felis catus (domestic cat). RNAcentral's name for it is "lncRNA (ENSFCAG00000043010.2)". The record is from RNAcentral. Lineage: Eukaryota; Metazoa; Chordata; Mammalia; Carnivora; Felidae.